Molecule: ribosomal RNA, 500 nt
Filed under: uncultured bacterium
Lineage: Bacteria
Description: partial 16S ribosomal RNA
Rfam family: Bacterial small subunit ribosomal RNA
Source: RNAcentral
AUUGAACGCUGGCGGCAUGCCUUACACAUGCAAGUCGAACGGUAACGGGUCCUUCGGGAUGCCGACGAGUGGCGAACGGGUGAGUAAUAUAUCGGAACGUGCCCAGUAGUGGGGGAUAACCGCUCGAAAGAGCAGCUAAUACCGCAUACGACCUGAGGGUGAAAGGGGGGGAUCGCAAGACCUCGCGCUAUCUGAGCGGCGGAUAUCAGAUAAGCUAGUUGGUGGGGUAAAGGCCUACCAAGGCAACGAUCUGUAGUUGGUCUGAGAGGACGACCAGCCACACUGGGACUGAGACACGGCCCCGACUCCUACGGGAGGCAGCAGUGGGGAAUUUUGGACAAUGGGCGCAAGCCUGAUCCAGCAAUGCCGCGUGCAGGAAGAAGGCCUUCGGGUUGUAAACUGCUUUUGUCAGGGAAGAAAUCUUCUGGGCUAAUACCCCGGGAGGAUGACGGUACCUGAAGAAUAAGCACCGGCUAACUACGUGCCAGCCGCCGCCGUAA